AUUGAACGCUGGCGGCAUGCCUUACACAUGCAAGUCGAACGGCAGCAUGAUCUAGCUUGCUGGAUUGAUGGCGAGUGGCGAACGGGUGAGUAAUACAUCGGAACGUGCCCUGUAGUGGGGGAUAACUAGUCGAAAGAUUAGCUAAUACCGCAUACGACCUGAGGGUGAAAGUGGGGGACCGCAAGGCCUCAUGCUAUAGGAGCGGCCGAUGUCUGAUUAGCUAGUUGGUGAGGUAAAGGCUCACCAAGGCGACGAUCAGUAGCUGGUCUGAGAGGACGAUCGGCCGCACUGGAACUGAGACACGGCCCAGACUCCUACGGGAGGCAGCAGUGGGGAAUUUUGGACAAUGGGCGAAAGCCUGAUCCAGCAAUGCCGCGUGUGUGAAGAAGGCCUUCGGGUUGUAAAGCACUUUUGUCCGGAAAGAAAUGGCUCUGGUUAAUACCUGGGGUCGAUGACGGUACCGGAAGAAUAAGGACCGGCUAACUACGUG
This 490-nucleotide ribosomal RNA is filed under the name uncultured bacterium. Its description in RNAcentral is "partial 16S ribosomal RNA". It matches the Rfam family "Bacterial small subunit ribosomal RNA", at positions 30 to 507 of the family's 1533-position model. The record is from RNAcentral.